UGGCUGUGAUUAAAAAGUUAUCCGCGCUUCUGAGGUUUUUUACAGUCGAUGAAGUAUAUGGGUAAAAUGGUUGAAUUUCUUAAUAUGAGCCA
Molecule: non-coding RNA, 92 nt
Organism: Erythranthe guttata (spotted monkey flower)
Lineage: Eukaryota; Viridiplantae; Streptophyta; Magnoliopsida; Lamiales; Phrymaceae
Source: Rfam